This 65-nucleotide transfer RNA is filed under the name uncultured Eubacterium sp. It matches the Rfam family "tRNA", at positions 5 to 66 of the family's 71-position model. Rfam says of the family: Transfer RNA (tRNA) molecules are approximately 80 nucleotides in length. Their secondary structure includes four short double-helical elements and three loops (D, anti-codon, and T loops). Lineage: Bacteria; Bacillati; Bacillota; Clostridia; Eubacteriales; Eubacteriaceae. The record is from RNAcentral.
UCUGUAGCUCAGUUGGUAGAGCAACUGAUUCGUAAUCAGUAGGUCACGUGUUCAAGUCACGCCAG